This 84-nucleotide transfer RNA is filed under the name Fasciola hepatica (liver fluke). It matches the Rfam family "tRNA". Rfam says of the family: Transfer RNA (tRNA) molecules are approximately 80 nucleotides in length. Their secondary structure includes four short double-helical elements and three loops (D, anti-codon, and T loops). Further hydrogen bonds mediate the characteristic L-shaped molecular structure. tRNAs have two regions of fundamental functional importance: the anti-codon, which is responsible for specific mRNA codon recognition, and the 3' end, to which the tRNAs corresponding amino acid is attached (by aminoacyl-tRNA synthetases). tRNAs cope with the degeneracy of the genetic code in two manners: having more than one tRNA (with a specific anti-codon) for a particular amino acid; and 'wobble' base-pairing, i.e. permitting non-standard base-pairing at the 3rd anti-codon position. Lineage: Eukaryota; Metazoa; Platyhelminthes; Trematoda; Plagiorchiida; Fasciolidae. The record is from Rfam by way of RNAcentral.
GGCCUCGUAGCUCAGCUGGUGGAGCAUUCGUAGUACUAAAGCGAGGUCAGUGACCAUGCGUGGGUUUAAAUCCCGCCGGGGCCA